Molecule: ribosomal RNA, 2931 nt
Filed under: Escherichia coli
Lineage: Bacteria; Pseudomonadati; Pseudomonadota; Gammaproteobacteria; Enterobacterales; Enterobacteriaceae
Description: 23S ribosomal RNA
Rfam family: Bacterial large subunit ribosomal RNA
Source: RNAcentral
GGGUUGUGAGGUUAAGCGACUAAGCGUACACGGUGGAUGCCCUGGCAGUCAGAGGCGAUGAAGGACGUGCUAAUCUGCGAUAAGCGUCGGUGAGGUGAUAUGAACCGUUAUAACCGGCGAUUUCCGAAUGGGGAAACCCAGUGUGUUUCGACACACUAUCAUUAACUGAAUCCAUAGGUUAAUGAGGCGAACCGGGGGAACUGAAACAUCUAAGUACCCCGAGGAAAAGAAAUCAACCGAGAUUCCCCCAGUAGCGGCGAGCGAACGGGGAGCAGCCCAGAGCCUGAAUCAGUGUGUGUGUUAGUGGAAGCGUCUGGAAAGGCGUGCGAUACAGGGUGACAGCCCCGUACACAAAAAUGCACAUACUGUGAGCUCGAUGAGUAGGGCGGGACACGUGGUAUCCUGUCUGAAUAUGGGGGGACCAUCCUCCAAGGCUAAAUACUCCUGACUGACCGAUAGUGAACCAGUACCGUGAGGGAAAGGCGAAAAGAACCCCGGCGAGGGGAGUGAAAAAGAACCUGAAACCGUGUACGUACAAGCAGUGGGAGCCUCUUAAUGGGGUGACUGCGUACCUUUUGUAUAAUGGGUCAGCGACUUAUAUUCUGUAGCAAGGUUAACCGAAUAGGGGAGCCGAAGGGAAACCGAGUCUUAACUGGGCGUUAAGUUGCAGGGUAUAGACCCGAAACCCGGUGAUCUAGCCAUGGGCAGGUUGAAGGUUGGGUAACACUAACUGGAGGACCGAACCGACUAAUGUUGAAAAAUUAGCGGAUGACUUGUGGCUGGGGGUGAAAGGCCAAUCAAACCGGGAGAUAGCUGGUUCUCCCCGAAAGCUAUUUAGGUAGCGCCUCGUGAAUUCAUCUCCGGGGGUAGAGCACUGUUUCGGCAAGGGGGUCAUCCCGACUUACCAACCCGAUGCAAACUGCGAAUACCGGAGAAUGUUAUCACGGGAGACACACGGCGGGUGCUAACGUCCGUCGUGAAGAGGGAAACAACCCAGACCGCCAGCUAAGGUCCCAAAGUCAUGGUUAAGUGGGAAACGAUGUGGGAAGGCCCAGACAGCCAGGAUGUUGGCUUAGAAGCAGCCAUCAUUUAAAGAAAGCGUAAUAGCUCACUGGUCGAGUCGGCCUGCGCGGAAGAUGUAACGGGGCUAAACCAUGCACCGAAGCUGCGGCAGCGACACUAUGUGUUGUUGGGUAGGGGAGCGUUCUGUAAGCCUGUGAAGGUGUACUGUGAGGUAUGCUGGAGGUAUCAGAAGUGCGAAUGCUGACAUAAGUAACGAUAAAGCGGGUGAAAAGCCCGCUCGCCGGAAGACCAAGGGUUCCUGUCCAACGUUAAUCGGGGCAGGGUGAGUCGACCCCUAAGGCGAGGCCGAAAGGCGUAGUCGAUGGGAAACAGGUUAAUAUUCCUGUACUUGGUGUUACUGCGAAGGGGGGACGGAGAAGGCUAUGUUGGCCGGGCGACGGUUGUCCCGGUUUAAGCGUGUAGGCUGGUUUUCCAGGCAAAUCCGGAAAAUCAAGGCUGAGGCGUGAUGACGAGGCACUACGGUGCUGAAGCAACAAAUGCCCUGCUUCCAGGAAAAGCCUCUAAGCAUCAGGUAACAUCAAAUCGUACCCCAAACCGACACAGGUGGUCAGGUAGAGAAUACCAAGGCGCUUGAGAGAACUCGGGUGAAGGAACUAGGCAAAAUGGUGCCGUAACUUCGGGAGAAGGCACGCUGAUAUGUAGGUGAAGUCCCUUGCGGAUGGAGCUGAAAUCAGUCGAAGAUACCAGCUGGCUGCAACUGUUUAUUAAAAACACAGCACUGUGCAAACACGAAAGUGGACGUAUACGGUGUGACGCCUGCCCGGUGCCGGAAGGUUAAUUGAUGGGGUUAGCGGUAACGCGAAGCUCUUGAUCGAAGCCCCGGUAAACGGCGGCCGUAACUAUAACGGUCCUAAGGUAGCGAAAUUCCUUGUCGGGUAAGUUCCGACCUGCACGAAUGGCGUAAUGAUGGCCAGGCUGUCUCCACCCGAGACUCAGUGAAAUUGAACUCGCUGUGAAGAUGCAGUGUACCCGCGGCAAGACGGAAAGACCCCGUGAACCUUUACUAUAGCUUGACACUGAACAUUGAGCCUUGAUGUGUAGGAUAGGUGGGAGGCUUUGAAGUGUGGACGCCAGUCUGCAUGGAGCCGGCCUUGAAAUACCACCCUUUAAUGUUUGAUGUUCUAACGUUGGCCCCUGAUCGGGGUUGCGGACAGUGUCUGGUGGGUAGUUUGACUGGGGCGGUCUCCUCCUAAAGAGUAACGGAGGAGCACGAAGGUUGGCUAAUCCUGGUCGGACAUCAGGAGGUUAGUGCAAUGGCAUAAGCCAGCUUGACUGCGAGCGUGACGGCGCGAGCAGGUGCGAAAGCAGGUCAUAGUGAUCCGGUGGUUCUGAAUGGAAGGGCCAUCGCUCAACGGAUAAAAGGUACUCCGGGGAUAACAGGCUGAUACCGCCCAAGAGUUCAUAUCGACGGCGGUGUUUGGCACCUCGAUGUCGGCUCAUCACAUCCUGGGGCUGAAGUAGGUCCCAAGGGUAUGGCUGUUCGCCAUUUAAAGUGGUACGCGAGCUGGGUUUAGAACGUCGUGAGACAGUUCGGUCCCUAUCUGCCGUGGGCGCUGGAGAACUGAGGGGGGCUGCUCCUAGUACGAGAGGACCGGAGUGGACGCAUCACUGGUGUUCGGGUUGUCAUGCCAAUGGCACUGCCCGGUAGCUAAAUGCGGAAGAGAUAAGUGCUGAAAGCAUCUAAGCACGAAACUUGCCCCGAGAUGAGUUCUCCCUGACUCCUUGAGAGUCCUGAAGGAACGUUGAAGACGACGACGUUGAUAGGCCGGGUGUGUAAGCGCAGCGAUGCGUUGAGCUAACCGGUACUAAUGAACCGUGAGGCUUAACCUUACAACGCCGAAGGUGUUU